This 4877-nucleotide long non-coding RNA is filed under the name Sus scrofa (pig). Its description in RNAcentral is "lncRNA (ENSSSCG00000048030.1)". The record is from RNAcentral. Lineage: Eukaryota; Metazoa; Chordata; Mammalia; Artiodactyla; Suidae.
GCUGUUCAUUUUUAAAGCAUUCUUUUCUCAAAGAAGCAUAAGGAAGAUAACUUUUAUCUUAGGGGUACAGGACGCCCACAUCGUUGUGUGUAUCUCUUGAGAGGGACCCAGGACCCUGCCCCGAGGCUGUCCUCGGGUUUCUUGACUGUUCUUCCCUUGUCUUUGCAUCCCCUCCUUUCCCUGAUCAGCAACUGUCUGAAGCCGUCCCUUGGAACUCGGGGAAGACCACGGAGGCCGAACGAGGCCCAUUUGCUAAGAAAUGAGGGACACAGAAACACUCGUGUGCCGGGGACCCCCAGAGGGCCCCGCUCAGUUACAGUCAUUGUGGCAACCCGAGUAGAUGAGGACACCUAGAAAUAAGACGAUAAAGUUCUAAUCUUCAGCAACCCCUUCAACAUUUGUAAGGUAUUUUCUAUUCAGCAAAGAUACUUUUACUUUGUAAAUCUCAUGCAGCGUUAUCCAUGUCAUCUAUUCAUUCAACAAACGUGUUAACAAAUGUUAAUUUCCAUCCCACAAGCCAAUGGAAAUCCUGGGAAACUGGAUUGUGAUGAUCAUUAUACAACUACAGAUGUGACCAAAAAAAUAAUAAAAAAUAAAAUAAAAUAAACAAAUAUUUAUUGGGUGCUUAUUGUGUACCAGGCAAUUUUCUAGGUGCUAGAGACGCAGAAGGGAACGAGACCAAACUGGAGCUUGUGAAAACAAAUGAGGCAAUGGAGGUGACUUAACUACGGUCAUAAGCAGUUGCAGAACUAGAAUUCAAAAUCAGGAUUUUUAUUUCUAGCCCAGCACUUUGAAAAAUGUAUCCAAUCUUCCUUUCAUGCCUGGGAAAUGAUCUCCACAAAUUGCUGUUCAAACUUUAUCUCCUCCAAUAAACCCAGUGACCAAAAAUUCCAUCACUGUUCAUGCCCGCAAUGGCACAGGUUCCUGUUUUGUCUCUGUGAUGGUGCGGGUUUGCCCCCCACCCCGCCCAGGCUGAUGCAGUGGGUUAAGGAUCUCGCAUUACUGCACCUGCUGCAUAGUACACAGCCAUGGCUCUGAUUUUAUCCCUGGCCUGGAAACUUCCAAAUGCAGUGGGUGUGGCCAGAAAGAAAAAAACAGCCCAACACUGGAACUACAUUUACUCAAAUUCCUUUUACUUAUCUUAUAUCCUCAGCCACAGCCCAAUAUUUUAAAAAGUCAUUUAAUAAAUUGUUUUGUAACCAAGCAGGACCCUACCGGGCUUUCCCCGGGAUUUUAGGGGGCAUAAACCACCCAUCUCCUUGCAUGGUCCUGCAAUAAACAUUUCUCUGCUCCCAAUUUCAAUGUUUCGGUUUGUUUGGCCUCACUGUGCAUCAGGUAUUCGAACUUUCAUUCAGAGGCAAUUUUAGAAGUUUCAUUUAGAAAAUAAAAAGAUGUAUUUAUGUGUCUCACCCUAUGUAAUGUGCAUAUUUUUUGUCAUUUUUAUUUUGACCUAGCUUACUUUUUGCUUUCAUUUCCUCUGGCCCAGGUUAUCUCUUUCCAUGUGUUGAAAGAAGAUUCCUUUAGCAUCCUGCAACCAAUCAUGUAACUCUUGCUUGAAACAAUGGUGGCAAAAGUAAAAACUUCUCUGAAAUAAAGGAACAUUACAGAAGUCUACAUUACAUUUCUUAAGCUAUUGCAUAACCAGCCACGUGUAACCUACACACAUUCUCCCUUCCCUGUGCUCCUAGGUGACACGCUUUUGUAUGACAUUUUACAUCGUCUAAUCCAUUCAUGAGGGAGAGGAACCAAGCAGUCCCACUUCAGUCAAGAUGAUGGAUCAAAACAGCAUCCUCAUGCUUGCAGACACAGAUGGGAAAAAAUUGUAAAAAGUCUUGCAAAGAGGAAGUGGGAGAGGAUGAAUACUCAGUAUAUCCAUCUGGUUGCACAUUUUGGAAAAGCAGACUGAUUUUUCCCAUGUCUCCCCAGGAUGAUUGCUCCUAAGCCCGGCCAUUUAGUGUGAAUUUGUAGGUAUCAGAGGUUGAAGUGAUACCUGCAAAUAGAUAUAGAUAGAGGUGCUGAACUAUCGAAGAGAUUGCAAAAUCUUGCGCUGGGGAAGGAAAGGGGGUUCCUUUCUUGCCCUGAACUCUACUUUGGAGUUGAAGUAGAGACAGCCAGCCAUUCCCUAGCGCCAAGGACUCCAUCCAAACAUCACAGCAACAGUGACAUUCCCAAACCUUCUGCAAGCCAGCACCAUCUUUACUGCAUUACAGUUACCUCAGGACCAAUAGCGCCCUGGCCACCAAAACCAAAGGGGAGGGGGUGGUGGGAGGGUCCUGGAAUGAUCACAUGACUGUCUUGAUUAUAGGCUGUGUUUUUGAGUAAACGCACCCUGCUGCUAUGGUAGAGUGAUAGCUCCUCCCCAGGAAGUGGCCCUCUGGGGCAGUGCUCCUACCUUUGGGAUUGGCCCUUGGCUUUUUACAGCCCUUUCUUUUGCUUUUUCCAAGAAUCUUUGCUCCUAACCAGAAGAGAUGUUCCGUCAACUAAGAGAAGGCCAAAAAACGUGUGCUGGUUCAAAAAGGCCUUGAAAAGGGAAGAAUGGAAAUUCUCCCCUUGAAUGAAGUCAAGGAUUAAGAAGGAAAGCAAAUGAGGUUGGCAUCCUCGUGGCAUGUCUUAGAUGCUUGAUAAAUGGCUAUGAAGUAUUCAUUCAGGGCCCUCCCCUUUGCACACCAAAGGCACUUGAAGAGGAGAGCUUGAAAAGUGAUUUCUGGGUUCUGAGCAUCCAUCUGAAUUAGAACGGGGGGAAGGAUUGAGAAUGCGAAAAGCAUAGUCCACCACUGCACAUACAGCGCCCCUUUGGAACAAUUAUUGUCUCUUGAUUUACAGACUUCGCUGCAAAUCGACACAGAAACAGCUAUAUUCAAUCUGUGACUGAGACGCGAAUGUAACCCCCAAAUAAAAAGGCAUUUAUUUUAUGCAACUGUUAUUAAGAAAAAUGGUGGUUUUCAUUAUUUUCGUUGUUGAAGAGAGGAAUAACUCAUUAACUCUUGAAACUUCUCUACAACCCGCUGGGGACUCUCUGGGGUGUGGGUGUGCCCACGGCUUGCAGAAGAAGUCUGCAUUUCACAAUAUAUGCCCGAGGGGGUAGAAAUUAGCAAAAAUAUUAAGAGCCUUUAUGUGGUUUUAGCCAUGACAUUUUGUACUUGGCUUUUCUCAUCGAGUUGAGGCCUUAUAACCCGUUAUAAACCUUGGGGAGAAUGCCAGUGUAAUUAACAUUGUGAAAGAGUUUCCACUAUAAGCUUUAAUUUGAGGACAUUUGAAUUUUACGAAUAAUUCUUCUUUGAAAUUUUCCAUCUUCAUUUUUUAUCCAAAUGUGAUUUGUCUGUUUGUAUGUUUGUUUGUUUUGGAAAAAUUGAAGAUGUUUAACUGUUUUAAUGUCAAGACAGGAAAAUAUUUGUUGUCUGAUUGAUUUUGUCCAAUACUUUCAUAGAAAUAUUCCAAAUGUUAUAAAGUGUCUGAAUUUAAAUCGCAAACUUAGAAAGUGAAAUGAGAUUGAGUGAGAAAUUUUAUAAAUUAGAGUCAUGAAAUUUCAUAAAUUAGCAACGCAUAGUUAAGACGGCAGAGCGAACAACGUAUGGAAAGAAUUUAGAGUGAAUUAAUUCCAACUCACUGUCUCUCUUGUGUGUCCACAAAAUCUAAAAACAUACCCUCUUGGGUUGUAUCAAAUUUUUUCAAGCGAAAGACACAAUCAACCCAAUUCUAUUACUAAUUUCUCUGCUUGCUUAUGUUCAGAUAAGAAGGAAAUCUGUUCUUCUGAAAGAUUAGUACUUAAUUAUCCUAAUAAAAAUCUCGUCCUCCUCUCUCUCUUUCCACUAAUGGAAAUCCGAAUGAAUUGGUUAUAUAAGUUUUUUAAUAAAACUUUCAGUUUCAGUUUCUGUUUAGAAAGAGCUUGAAUUUUAUCACUGUUAUUCGUACUAUAGGAAAAAGCUGAACUAAUUAAAUGUUAAUGACUUCUUUAAACCCAUUAGAGAAAUACAAUUUUAGGACAAACGGCUACUCCACAGUCUGGAGGAACAAGGGAAUCUGGAGUCACAGCUAAGAUCUGCUUAUUAACAUCUAGAGCAAAAGUCACUGGAGGAACAUCUCAGUAAUGAUUCUGACGACGUGAUGGAGGCCGAAUGUGAACUAGCACCAGCAUAGCGGAAUUCCCGGGAGCUGCAGUCUGAGGGUUUCUCAGUACGUGAAAGGCAUUUAUUUCAAAAUGAAACUAUAUGGAGUUCCCAUCGUGGCUCAGUGGUUAAUGAAUCUGACCAAGAACCAUGAGGUUGCAGGUUCGAUCCCCGGCCUUGCUCAGUGGGUUAAGGAUCCGGCGUUGCCGUUGCCAUGAGCUGUGAUGUAGGUUGCAGAUGAGGCUCAGAUCCCGCGUUGCUGUGGCUCUGGCGUAGGCCGGUGGCUAUAGCUCCAAUUCGACCCCUAGCCUGGGAACCUCCAUAUGCCAAGGGAGCAGCCCAAGAAAUGGCAAAAAAAGACUAAUAAUAAUAAUAAUAAUAAAAUAAAAAUGAAACUAUAGGAGUUCCCUGAUGACUCAGCAGGUUAAGGAUCUGGUGUUCUCACUGCUGUGAUGCAGGUUCAAUCCUUGGACCUGGAACUUCCCUACGCUAUGAGUGCAGGGGAAAAAAAAAAGGAGGGGAAAGAAAGAAAGGAAAAAGAAAGGGAGUUCGGGUCUCAGCUCCAACUGAACUAGUAUCCAGAAGGAUGAGGGUUCGAGCCCUGGCCUUGCUCAGUAGGUUAAGGAUCCAGCAUUGCUGUGAGCUGUGGCGUCGGUCACACAGGUGGCAUGGAUCUGGCAUUUCCGUGGCUGUGGCAUAAGCCGUAAGCUCGAGGCUACAGCUCUGAUUCAGCCCCUAGCCUGGGAAGCUCCAUAUGCCUCGAGUGUGGCC